AUCAAAUUGUAUUCAAUUAUUUUAUACCAUGUCCUCAUAAGGAAUACACCAAAUACAUGCAAAUUAAUAUAUGUAAAUGGAGUAUGAUUCUGAAUUAUUAAAUAUUUAACAUCACACAAAUACUAAGAUAAUACCAAGAAUAUGAGUCUCCAAUAUAAUUUCUCCAAUUUAUUGUCACAUCAAUUUCAAAUGUUCUUUAAGACGUAUCUCCCAUUAGCUUUCGUAUGUUUGCCAUUGUCAAGCCUGUUGUCAUUUAUGAGCUUACAAAAGAGGGAAUCAACCAAAGUCAAGGACUAUACGUCCAAAGUACAUCUUCCAUUGUCUUAGAGAGGAAGAUCGCUUCAUAUCUAGCAGCGGUGUUAGCUCCAGAAAUCAGAAUGACCUAAACCAAGAUAAAAAAGAGAUUAAAAACGAAAAGGAGGAGGAAGAUAAGGAGGAGCAGUGCCUAUUGAAGCUAUUGAAGAUGUGUAGUGGUACACCACCAUCUGAAUGUUGAUGAUCUAAAUGAGACUACGGAGAAUCAGGAAGGCGGCGCAGAGAAGAAUAUGAAAGAGGAUGGUCAUUCUGAU
RNAcentral lists this unclassified non-coding RNA (569 nucleotides) under Hevea brasiliensis (rubber tree). The record is from RNAcentral. Lineage: Eukaryota; Viridiplantae; Streptophyta; Magnoliopsida; Malpighiales; Euphorbiaceae.